This is a long non-coding RNA of Oreochromis aureus, 650 nucleotides long. The record is from Ensembl. NCBI's taxonomy places the organism in Eukaryota, Metazoa, Chordata, Actinopteri, Cichliformes, Cichlidae.
AAAAAUUUCAAGAUACGUAGUGUCAGCAGAAACAAGUUUCCAUAAAUAGCCGUUAAAGUUUAGUUGAUAAUAUGGCUAGGAUAACAUUAGAUUAGCUUAGUUAAGCUAAGACUGCUAGCAGGGAGGGAAAGGGGUUUGUCGAGAGUAAAGAGGACACUGUUCCUCCAAAAACUGACGUCAGACUCUGCAGCCAUGUUAGGAUCAACCAUAGUCUGUGGGAUCAACAGGCAUUUUCACAGCUGUCUCGCUGAGUUAUGUAAAGAAGAACUGGGUGUUAACAUCACAUCACCAGGCAUAAAAUCUUCAAAAUUGAGCGAACAGGACCCAGUCAGAUGAGGGGGGAGACAGAUAGGAAGAAGAAGAGGAGGAGGGAGAAGAGAGGAGCUUUAUGUCAGCCCGCUCUCCUCAGUCACGGCCAGUUAGUUAAAGCAAACGCAGGCGGACCCUUGAGAAAACGCGAGGCGGCGGAGAGUGCCAAUCACGGCCGAGCCCUGGGCAUUCCCUGGUACAGCUCGCCUUGAGCAACUUUUUAUUAAUUUAAUAAACAUCCCACAGAGACGGAGCGAUGUGGACUUACGUACCCUUGCAGACAACAGCACUGCUUGGGCCUAAUGAGAUGUGCUACUCACACACACACACACACACACACA